Equus caballus (horse) is the source of this 767-nucleotide long non-coding RNA. RefSeq lists it as uncharacterized. The record is from RefSeq and is a predicted model, not a curated record. Lineage: Eukaryota; Metazoa; Chordata; Mammalia; Perissodactyla; Equidae.
AUCAGACACCCUAUAUCUUAUUCCCUGUUCUCUUCCCCCAGUGCCUCCCGAGGUGACUGUGUCCUGCCAGAGUGCUCCAGAAGACAGUGUCACCCGUCCUGCUGGCCACUGGCUUUUGCCCUUCCUCUGUCUUGCUUCACUGGAAGAAGGACUAGUUGCUGGCAGGAAUCCGAAACAAGUGAAGGCUCCAAGAGCCAAGAGGAGGUAUCCUGAUGUGGCAGAAAGAUUUGAGCUACCAGCUUGGUGAGAAGUUCGCAGCGACCUUCAGAGAAAUUUCACACCCUGCGGAAUUUCUGCAAGAACCCCUUUCCCACUUCCUGCCCUUAACCUCCACUCUUUGCUAGACCUGCCCUGUGGCGACCACAAAAAUGCAGCUGUCGGAUCUCCAACUCCGGGGGUGUAAUUGACCGAGGUUCUCAGCUGCUGCGCUCUGAAACCCAUCACUUCCUUGGUGCUGAGGCCACGGUUCCCACAGCUGCUCCCAGCCAGAGGCAGAGGGCAGUGGGGACACUAUGGCGGGAUACUAAGGGAAUGCUGGGGAAAUGUGAGAAUCCUUUGACGGGUCACUUUGGCUCCAGGACUUCCCAUUGGCCUUACCAAACACUCCUUAGAUGACCAGCAGCCUGGAACACUUCCACCCAACCUCCUCUCCUCUCUUCUUCCUUGGGGUCAUACUUGCAUUGGUGGUCUGAUGGCUCCCAUCUUCUUCCAGCCCCUUCCAGAUUUCCCCCCACAGGCAUUUCUGCUAAUAAACCUAUUGCAUGUUU